ACGGAAGGCAGCAGUCGGGAAUAUUGCGCAAUGGAGGAAACUCUGACGCAGUGACGCCGCGUAUAGGAAGAAGGUUUUCGGAUUGUAAACUAUUGUCGUUAGGGAAGAACAAAGACAGUACCUAAGGAGGAAGCCCCGGCUAACUAUGUGCCAGCAGCCGCGGUAAUACAUAGGGGGCAAGCGUUAUCCGGAAUUAUUGGGUGUAAAGGGUGCGUAGACGGGAGAGCAAGUUAGUUGUGAAAUCCCUCGGCUUAACUGAGGAACUGCAACUAAAACUGUACUUCUUGAGUAUCGGAGGGGAAAGCGGAAUUCCUAGUGUAGCGGUGAAAUGCGUAGAUAUUAGGAGGAACACCAGUGGCGAAGGCGGCUUUCUGGACUGUAACUGACACUGAGGCACGAAAGCGUGGGGAGCAAACAGGGUUAGAUACCCUGGUA
Molecule: ribosomal RNA, 435 nt
Filed under: uncultured Oscillospiraceae bacterium
Lineage: Bacteria; Bacillati; Bacillota; Clostridia; Eubacteriales; Oscillospiraceae
Description: bacterial SSU rRNA
Rfam family: Bacterial small subunit ribosomal RNA
Source: RNAcentral